GGGGUUUCCGGUUGUUUGGAGUUGCUGUUCGUUGUUGGAAAAGAGUGGUUUUUGGUGGUUUGGGUCGGAAAAGGGAGGAGAAACGGGUAGUGAUAGCUAGCUGUUGUUUCGAGAAGCACAUGGUGAGGUUUCACCAGAAAAAUGGGGAAGAGGGAUGAAGCAGGAAGUGAUUUUGGUUGGCCGGAGCUUCAUCGGAAAAUAUGAGUUGCUUUAGC
This 215-nucleotide unclassified non-coding RNA is filed under the name Hevea brasiliensis (rubber tree). Lineage: Eukaryota; Viridiplantae; Streptophyta; Magnoliopsida; Malpighiales; Euphorbiaceae. The record is from RNAcentral.